GCCAGGGCUACACACGUGCUACAAUGGUCGGUACAAAGGGUUGCCAAGCCGCGAGGUGGAGCUAAUCCCAUAAAACCGAUCGUAGUCCGGAUCGCAGUCUGCAACUCGACUGCGUGAAGUCGGAAUCGCUAGUAAUCGUGAAUCAGAAUGUCACGGUGAAUACGUUCCCGGGCCUUGUACACACCGCCCGUCACACCAUGGGAGUGGGUUGCUCAAAGAAGUA
This 223-nucleotide ribosomal RNA is filed under the name Ectopseudomonas mendocina. Its description in RNAcentral is "Pseudomonas mendocina partial 16S ribosomal RNA". It matches the Rfam family "Bacterial small subunit ribosomal RNA", at positions 1207 to 1431 of the family's 1533-position model. Lineage: Bacteria; Pseudomonadati; Pseudomonadota; Gammaproteobacteria; Pseudomonadales; Pseudomonadaceae. The record is from RNAcentral.